RNAcentral lists this ribosomal RNA (426 nucleotides) under uncultured bacterium. RNAcentral describes it as "bacterial SSU rRNA". It matches the Rfam family "Bacterial small subunit ribosomal RNA", at positions 355 to 774 of the family's 1533-position model. The record is from RNAcentral.
UUUCGAAUCAUUCACAAUGGGCGCAAGCCUGAUGGUGCGACGCCGCGUGGGGGAUGAAGGUCUUCGGAUUGUAAACCCCUGUCACCGGGGAAGAAACGUUAAACGUAAACAUCGUUUAGCCUGACUUAACCCGGAGAGGAAGCAGUGGCUAACUCUGUGCCAGCAGCCGCGGUAAUACAGAGACUGCAAGCGUUAUUCGGAUUCACUGGGCGUAAAGGGUGCGCAGGCGGCCGUGUGUGUUAGGCGUGAAAGCCUGAGGCUUAACCUCAGAAUUGCACCUAAAACUACACGGCUAGAGUACUGGAGAGGGUAGCGGAAUUCACGGUGUAGCAGUGAAAUGCGUAGAUAUCGUGAGGAACACCAAAGGCGAAGGCAGCUACCUGGACAGUUACUGACGCUCAGGCACGAAAGCGUGGGGAGCAAAAG